AUGUUAACAGUAUUCCAUUUGGUUUGGUGGGAAAUCAAGGAGAUCGAUGAGCUUCAUAGGAAUCUCUUUGAGGAUUGUAUGGCAGAUGCAAAUUUGGGGAUGUUGCAUGUUUGGUCAGCUGGAAAGAAUCAGGUUCACGGACUAUGUAGGUUGGUGCUUACCGGCCUUAGAAAGUUUGGUCGCACUACAGUUGUGUUUGGAAGUAGUAUGAAUGAACAAGCAAAUGACAACCCUGUAUCGACAUAUAAUUCCAACAGAUUAGAUUGUAAAACGGUGACAUGCCGCAUUUUUGGACCUCAAGAUGGCUCAACGAUCAAGCAUUAG
Molecule: ribosomal RNA, 324 nt
Filed under: Triticum aestivum (bread wheat)
Lineage: Eukaryota; Viridiplantae; Streptophyta; Magnoliopsida; Poales; Poaceae
Description: partial small subunit ribosomal RNA
Source: RNAcentral